GAUUAAGUUAUUAAGGGCGCACGGUGGAUGCCUUGGCACUAGAAGCCGAUGAAGGACGUUACUAACGACGAUAUGCUUUGGAGAGCUGUAAGUAAGCUGUGAUCCAGAGAUUUCCGAAUGGGGGAACCCAAUACGAGUUAUGUCGUAUUAUCGAUACGUAAAUACAUAGCGUAUCGAAGGUAGACGCGGAGAACUGAAACAUCUUAGUACUCGCAGGAAGAGAAAGAAAAA
This 231-nucleotide ribosomal RNA is filed under the name Staphylococcus sp. S36. Its description in RNAcentral is "partial 23S ribosomal RNA". It matches the Rfam family "Bacterial large subunit ribosomal RNA", at positions 1 to 230 of the family's 2925-position model. Lineage: Bacteria; Bacillati; Bacillota; Bacilli; Caryophanales; Staphylococcaceae. The record is from RNAcentral.